RNAcentral lists this ribosomal RNA (253 nucleotides) under uncultured bacterium. RNAcentral's name for it is "partial 16S ribosomal RNA". It matches the Rfam family "Bacterial small subunit ribosomal RNA", at positions 524 to 776 of the family's 1533-position model. The record is from RNAcentral.
UACGUAGGGGGCAAGCGUUGUCCGGAAUUAUUGGGCGUAAAGAGCGUGUAGGCGGUCCGGUAAGUCGGCUGUGAAAGUCCAGGGCUCAACCCUGGGAUGCCGGUCGAUACUGCCGGACUAGAGUUCGGAAGAGGCGAGUGGAAUUCCCGGUGUAGCGGUGAAAUGCGCAGAUAUCAGGAAGAACACCUAUGGCGAAGGCAGCUCUCUGGGACGGUACUGACGCUGAGACGCGAAAGCGUGGGGAGCGAACAGG